RNAcentral lists this transfer RNA (53 nucleotides) under Pratylenchus vulnus (walnut meadow nematode). RNAcentral describes it as "tRNA-Ser". Lineage: Eukaryota; Metazoa; Nematoda; Chromadorea; Rhabditida; Pratylenchidae. The record is from RNAcentral.
AAAAAAAUUUUUAAUGAAAAUUUGAUUUUUUUAGUAAUUUUAUUAUUUUUUUG